This 72-nucleotide transfer RNA is filed under the name Phrynosoma platyrhinos (Desert horned lizard). RNAcentral's name for it is "tRNA-OTHER". Lineage: Eukaryota; Metazoa; Chordata; Lepidosauria; Squamata; Phrynosomatidae. The record is from RNAcentral.
GUCAGUGUAGUUUAGUGGUUUGAGCGUUGGGCUGUGACUCUGGAGGACAGGGUUUGAAUCCCAGCUAAGCCA